This 254-nucleotide ribosomal RNA is filed under the name uncultured bacterium. RNAcentral's name for it is "partial 16S ribosomal RNA". It matches the Rfam family "Bacterial small subunit ribosomal RNA", at positions 524 to 776 of the family's 1533-position model. The record is from RNAcentral.
UACGAAGGGGGCUAGCGUUGCUCGGAAUCACUGGGCGUAAAGCGCACGUAGGCGGACUCUUAAGUCGGGGGUGAAAUCCUGGAGCUCAACUCCAGAACUGCCUUCGAUACUGGGAGUCUUGAGUUCGGGAGAGGUGAGUGGAACUGCGAGUGUAGAGGUGAAAUUCGUAGAUAUUCGCAAGAACACCAGUGGCGAAGGCGGCUCACUGGCCCGAUACUGACGCUGAGGUGCGAAAGCGUGGGGGAGCAAACAGG